UGAGGUGGGAUCCCGGGGGGGCACCCCCCCCCGCGGGCGCACCACCGGCCCGUCUCGCCCGCGCCGUCGGGGAGGUGGAGCGUGAGCGCGCGCGAUAGGACCCGAAAGAUGGUGAACUAUGCCUGGGCAGGGC
Molecule: ribosomal RNA, 133 nt
Filed under: Pentanemus quinquarius
Lineage: Eukaryota; Metazoa; Chordata; Actinopteri; Polynemidae
Description: partial 28S ribosomal RNA
Source: RNAcentral